UUUCAAUCAGCGUGCUUCCCCUAACAAAAGGAGGACUGAGCCAAGAUCAGAUCUAGUCUUACAGGAAUGUGAGUGGGGCUAAGAGUGCCAUGCUAGAUGGAGAUGAAGUGCAACACUAGCACCAAGAGUUCUCCAUGAUUACCCUCUGAACCUAAAAAGGUGGGGAUGAAGAAUGCCGUUUGCAGAACCAGUGAGAGCCAAGGUCUCGGAAGAGCGACUGCCCAAUAGGAGCGCUGUCUGCCAAAGCUUGGGACCUCUCUCUCGGUGGUGGUGAAGCAGGAAGACAACAGGAGGAAUAAGUACUCUGAGCUCUUUCUCUCUGUUCCCCCGUUGUCCAAUCAAAUGCUGGGGAUCCUAUUGGCUAAACCCAAUCAGGAGCCAAAGUAUAAGGAAACUGGAAAUUAGGAUGAUUCAGGACACAGAGUAUGACAGAGAAAAACAGCAUCAAUCUAUAGGGGCAAACAGUGAACCACCAGUACACCUCCCAUCAAAAAUACCCUCGCAGUGGAUAGUCUGAGCACUUUUACUAAAGCUAAACCAAUGUGUA
Molecule: long non-coding RNA, 547 nt
Organism: Odocoileus virginianus texanus
Lineage: Eukaryota; Metazoa; Chordata; Mammalia; Artiodactyla; Cervidae
Source: RefSeq, a predicted model, not a curated record